UACGUAGGGGGCAAGCGUUGUCCGGAAUUAUUGGGCGUAAAGAGCGCGUAGGCGGUCCGAUAAGUCGGCUGUGAAAGUCCAGGGCUCAACCCUGGAAAGCCGGCCGAUACUGUCGGACUAGAGUCCGGAAGAGGCAAGUGGAAUUCCCGGUGUAGCGGUGAAAUGCGCAGAUAUCGGGAGGAACACCAAUGGCGAAGGCAGCUUGCUGGGACGGUACUGACGCUGAGGCGCGAAAGCAUGGGGAGCGAACAGG
This 253-nucleotide ribosomal RNA is filed under the name uncultured bacterium. RNAcentral's name for it is "partial 16S ribosomal RNA". It matches the Rfam family "Bacterial small subunit ribosomal RNA", at positions 524 to 776 of the family's 1533-position model. The record is from RNAcentral.